UACAGAGGUCUCAAGCGUUGUUCGGAUUCAUUGGGCGUAAAGGGUGCGUAGGUGGCGCCGUAAGUCAGGUGUGAAAUUUCGAGGCUUAACCUCGAAACUGCAUUUGAUACUGCCGUGCUUGAGGACUGGAGAGGAGACUGGAAUUUACGGUGUAGCGGUGAAAUGCGUAGAUAUCGUAAGGAAGACCAGUGGCGAAGGCGGGUCUCUGGACAGUUCCUGACGCUGAGGCACGAAGGUCAGGGGAGCAAACGGG
This 253-nucleotide ribosomal RNA is filed under the name uncultured bacterium. RNAcentral describes it as "partial 16S ribosomal RNA". It matches the Rfam family "Bacterial small subunit ribosomal RNA", at positions 524 to 776 of the family's 1533-position model. The record is from RNAcentral.